Molecule: long non-coding RNA, 575 nt
Filed under: Brassica napus (rape)
Lineage: Eukaryota; Viridiplantae; Streptophyta; Magnoliopsida; Brassicales; Brassicaceae
Description: long non-coding RNA (BNAP_LNC014465)
Source: RNAcentral
UUUUCAAAAGUUAUUUAAUAGUAGCUGUUUCUAGAAAAUUACAUUUUCACAAAUUGAUAUAUGGUGUUUUAUACAUCUUGUAUACAUGCUUUUAAAUUGGUUUUCAAGUCUUUAUCGAGUCUUUCUAGUUCUUUUGGAGUCAUUACAGGUCUGGAGUUGCAUUGGAUGGGAGAUGGACCAGCUGGAACAAAAGAGGCAGAAAACAAUGCAAUUUGGUGGUUUUCACGCAGAACAGUCAGAUAGUGGAGCAACCUGAGUGACUGUUCCGAGUGAGUGUUCCAGCGGCAAAGAUUUUUAAGGAAACUACAAUCAUUACGGGAUUUAGCCUAAUUAUCCAUAUUUUCUCUCCCAGCUGCCUGUGGCUUUGAUAUAUCAUAUUUUCUGUUUCUCUUUAUCAUUCUACGCUAUUCUAGACAGAAGAAAACCAUUGGAGACUUUUGUGCUUUUGGAUUGUAAAGGGAGAAGGCUCCAUCUCUCUCACCAUAGAGAAGAUUAUCCUGAACCCUCUUUCUAUCUGUUUUAUUAUGCAGUUUCAUUCAGGAUCUAUGUCUUUGAUUGCUUGCAUCAUGAUUGAG